AGUCUUAUAUUCAAAUAUGAUUUUAAAUUGCAAAUUUAAAGGUAAAUAAAUUUUUAAGGCUU
This 62-nucleotide transfer RNA is filed under the name Macrima straminea. RNAcentral describes it as "tRNA-Cys". Lineage: Eukaryota; Metazoa; Arthropoda; Insecta; Coleoptera; Chrysomelidae. The record is from RNAcentral.